AUAAUGGGUCAGCGACUUAUAUUCUGUAGCAAGGUUAACCGAAUAGGGGAGCCGAAGGGAAACCGAGUCUUAACUGGGCGUUAAGUUGCAGGGUAUAGACCCGAAACCCGGUGAUCUAGCCAUGGGCAGGUUGAAGGUUGGGUAACACUAACUGGAGGACCGAACCGACUAAUGUUGAAAAAUUAGCGGAUGACUUGUGGCUGGGGGUGAAAGGCCAAUCAAACCGGGAGAUAGCUGGUUCUCCCCGAAAGCUAUUUAGGUAGCGCCUCGUGAAUUCAUCUCCGGGGGUAGAGCACUGUUUCGGCAAGGGGGUCAUCCCGACUUACCAACCCGAUGCAAACUGCGAAUACCGGAGAAUGUUAUCACGGGAGACACACGGCGGGUGCUAACGUCCGUCGUGAAGAGGGAAACAACCCAGACCGCCAGCUAAGGUCCCAAAGUCAUGGUUAAGUGGGAAACGAUGUGGGAAGGCCCAGACAGCCAGGAUGUUGGCUUAGAAGCAGCCAUCAUUUAAAGAAAGCGUAAUAGCUCACUGGUCGAGUCGGCCUGCGCGGAAGAUGUAACGGGGCUAAACCAUGCACCGAAGCUGCGGCAGCGACGCUGAUGCGUUGUUGGGUAG
RNAcentral lists this ribosomal RNA (619 nucleotides) under Escherichia coli. RNAcentral's name for it is "partial 23S ribosomal RNA". It matches the Rfam family "Bacterial large subunit ribosomal RNA", at positions 612 to 1231 of the family's 2925-position model. Lineage: Bacteria; Pseudomonadati; Pseudomonadota; Gammaproteobacteria; Enterobacterales; Enterobacteriaceae. The record is from RNAcentral.